CCCUUAGAGUUUGAUCCUGGCUCAGGACGAACGCUAGCGGCGUGCCUAAGGUAUGCAAGUCGAACGGGGGCUUCGGCCCUAGUGGCGAACGGUCGAGUAACACGUAGACAACCUGCCCUCAAGUGGGGGAUAACAGCGGGAAACUGCUGCUAAUACCGCAUGUGGUCCCGGCCGGCAUCGGCGGGGUACUAAAGGUUUACUGCUUGAGGAUGGGUCUGCGGCCUAUCAGGUAGUUGGUGGGGUAACGGCCUACCAAGCCGACGACGGGUAGCGGGUCUGAGAGGAUGAUCCGCCGGACGGGGACUGAGACACGGCCCCGACUCCUUCGGGAGGCAGCAAUGAGGAAUAUUGCACAAUGGGCGAAAGCCUGAUGCAGCGACGCCGCGUGGGUGAGGAAGUUCUUCGGAAUGUAAAGCCCUUUUAUCGGGGAAGAUCACAGACGGUACCCGGUGAAUAAGCCCCGGCUAACUACGUGCCAGCAGCCGCGGUAAUACGUAGGGGGCAAGCGUUGUCCGGAUUUACUGGGCGUAAAGAGCGCGUAGGCGGACGUUUAAGUGUGGCCUGAAAGCCCCCGGCUCAACCGGGGAUGCGGGUUGCAAACUGGGCGUCUUGAGGGGGAUAGGGGAAGGUGGAAUUCCUGGUGUAGCGGUGAAAUGCGUAGAGAUCAGAGGA
RNAcentral lists this ribosomal RNA (672 nucleotides) under uncultured bacterium. RNAcentral's name for it is "bacterial SSU rRNA". It matches the Rfam family "Bacterial small subunit ribosomal RNA", at positions 1 to 705 of the family's 1533-position model. The record is from RNAcentral.